RNAcentral lists this ribosomal RNA (425 nucleotides) under uncultured bacterium. RNAcentral describes it as "partial 16S ribosomal RNA". It matches the Rfam family "Bacterial small subunit ribosomal RNA", at positions 354 to 796 of the family's 1533-position model. The record is from RNAcentral.
GUGAGGAAAUUUGCGCAAUGGGGGCAACCCUGACGCAGCGACGCCGCGUGGAGGACGAAGUCUUUCGGGAUGUAAACUCCUGUCAGUGGGGACGAUAAUGACGGUACCCACAGAGGAAGCACCGGCUAACUCCGUGCCAGCAGCCGCGGUAAGACGGAGGGUGCAAGCGUUGUUCGGAAUUACUGGGCGUAAAGCGUAUGUAGGCGGCAAGUUAAGUUCAAUGUUAAAGCCCACGGCUCAACCGAGGAGAUGCAUUGAAUACUGGCUAGCUAGAGGGUGUUAGAGGAAGACGGAAUUCCCAGUGUAGCGGUGAAAUGCGUAGAUAUUGGGAGGAACAUCGGUAGCGAAAGCGGUCUUCUGGGACAUACCUGACGCUGAGGUACGAAAGCGUGGGGAGCAAACGGGAUUAGAUACCCGGGUAGUCC